UCCAGACUCCUACGGGAGGCAGCAGUGGGGAAUAUUGGGCAAUGGGCGCAAGCCUGACCCAGCAACGCCGCGUGAAGGAAGAAGGCUUUCGGGUUGUAAACUUCUUUUAUUCGGGACGAAGAAAGUGACGGUACCGAAUGAAUAAGCCACGGCUAACUACGUGCCAGCAGCCGCGGUAAUACGUAGGUGGCAAGCGUUAUCCGGAUUUAUUGGGUGUAAAGGGCGUGUAGGCGGGAAUGCAAGUCAGAUGUGAAAACUCAGGGCUCAACCCUGAGCCUGCAUUUGAAACUGUAUUUCUUGAGUGCUGGAGAGGCAAUCGGAAUUCCGUGUGUAGCGGUGAAAUGCGUAGAUAUACGGAGGAACACCAGUGGCGAAGGCGGCCUGCUGGACUGCAACUGACGUUGAGGCCCGAAAGCGUGGGGAGCAAACAGGAUUAGAUACCCCGGUAC
RNAcentral lists this ribosomal RNA (449 nucleotides) under uncultured bacterium. RNAcentral's name for it is "bacterial SSU rRNA". It matches the Rfam family "Bacterial small subunit ribosomal RNA", at positions 330 to 793 of the family's 1533-position model. The record is from RNAcentral.